This 665-nucleotide ribosomal RNA is filed under the name uncultured organism. Its description in RNAcentral is "bacterial SSU rRNA". It matches the Rfam family "Bacterial small subunit ribosomal RNA", at positions 781 to 1431 of the family's 1533-position model. The record is from RNAcentral.
GAUACCCCGGUAGUCCACGGCCCUAGACUAUGUGCACUAGAUUGUGGGGGCUUCGACGCCCGCACAAUCCGAAGCUAAAGUGAUUAGUGCACCGCCUGGGGAGUACGGUCGCAAGGCUAAAACUCAAAGGAAUCGACGGGGGCUCACACAAGCGGUGGAGCAUGUGGCUUAAUUCGAAGCUACGCGAAGAACCUUAUCCAGGGUUUGACAUGUACGGAUUAGCUCGGCGAAAGUCGAGUGACGCUCUUUGAGUGGAACGUACACAGGUGCUGCAUGGCUGUCGUCAGCUCGUGCUGUGAAGUGUCGGGUUAAGUCCCUUAACGAGCGAAACCCCUACCACUAGUUACCAGCGGACCUUCGGGUGCCGGGGACUCUAGCGGGACUGCCGGUGUCAAACCGGAGGAAGGUGGGGACGACGUCAAGUCCUCAUGGCCUUUAUGCCCUGGGCUGCACACGUGCUACAAUGGUAACUACAGAGCGAAGCGAUACCGCAAGGUGGAGCAAAUCGCAAAAAAGUUGCCCCAGUUCGGAUUGUGGUCUGCAACUCGACCACAUGAAGUUGGAAUCGCUAGUAAUCGCGUAUCAGCAAUGACGCGGUGAUACGUUCCUGAGCAUUGUACACACCGCCCGUCAAGUCAUGGAAGCCGGGAGUGCCCGAAGUCGCC